GCAUUCUACUUUUGGAGACUCUUGGAACCACAAGUAGCCAAGUGCUGAAAGGUGUUGGAGGGGCUACAUGCUGAACAGAAUAGGCCUACCUGAUCUGGAAUGUGACAGAAGAGGCUAUAGCCUCUAGUUUGCCAGGCGUCGAGGAAGUGGUGGUCCGACCACAGUAGAGACAUUCUGCAGCCUGAAUCCUCAGGAGCCACUCAGCUGUUGAAAGAUGGGCUCGUUCAAGUUGUAUGGGUUCCGAGGAGGAGGAUUAUUGACUAGCUCUCUUCCUGCGCCGUUCACGUAAGUGGUUAUCUAGCUUAAUGGCUAAGGAAAUUAGCGCAUCCAAACUGGGAGGAUCAUCCUGAACUGCUAGCUCAUUCUUAAUCUGAUCAUUAAGACCUCUAACAAAACCCCCUGUAAAGCCUCACUGUUCCACCCUGAAUCAGCAGCUAUGGUCCUAAAUUCAACUGAAUACUCAGCUACACUGCAUAUUCCCUGUCGGAGUGUGAUCAAAAACCUUCUUCAUUUCAGAUACAAAAUCCCCAUAUGACCAGCUAGAGCUAACCUGGCUCUCCCUUACCAACCAACUGGUUGAGGCAGAUAGCAGCCCACCCUGAGUCUGGUUGUGCUCGAGGUUUCUGCCUCUUAAAAGGAAGUUUUUCCUUGCCACUGUCGCCAAGUGCCUGCUCAUGGUGGGAAUUAUUGGGUCUCUCUGUUGUAAAUACUGAGACUAUGGUCUAGACCUGCUCUGGCUCUGAUGGUAAGAGGCUGCUCCCAUAUAGUAGCUGGGAACGGUGAUCUGUGUGAGUACACAAGACCCUCAGAAAGAGGAGAAAUCACGGGGAGUAAUGUUCCCAUCAGCUGGUACAGGAACUUCGCCUGGAUGAUGGUCGGUUCAAAGCUUAUUUUAGGAUAAGUCUGGGACAGUUUGACAAUCAGCACUGUCAGUUGUUAGCAUCACAAGAACUAUCGCUAACUACAGGGAGUCUGUUGGUCCUGUCGAGCAGCUGAGCAUUUGUUUGUGGUAGGCUAUGUCUGUUUUAAUGUCAAUUCAAUAUUUUGGGUUAAGUGAGUAGCCUACUGCCCCGACAGCCUAAAACUGACAACUGUAGAUGUGAUACUUGUUACUUUAUUACUAAGCAUUACAAUGAUAAUGAUGAAAGUGAGCUAACGUUAGCUUAACACUAGAAUGGCCACGAUGGUCAUUAUGACCGUUUUGAAAUUUAUAUGUGCAACUUCAACUUUGUUGAAUAAAAAAAUACAAUCCUGCUGUUACCUGACUUUUCCUAAAAGUGAAAGUUUCCUAAAAGAAAAUAAGAAAUAAGACAUUUUUACCUAUUUCGGCCAUACAUGGUCAUAUUGACCACACUGAAUUUUGCGCAGUUUAUGAUACAUCUUGGUUGCUAAGCAGCUGUCAUUGUCUCUGUCGAAGAAACAUUGCUAGUGGUCUCGAGUGCUAUUAGCAUAUGCUAAUUUGCUUACAAAUUAUUAGACUAAAUUGGCUAUCAGUACAAUAAUUUAAGAAAUUGAGUAAUUGCUUAGGUUUGAGUUUAUAUGGAGCCUUUAGAAAAUGUAUGAAAUGAAUCAGAAUCAGAAAUACUUUAUUGAUCCCCGAGGAGAAACUCUUGUUAUAGCAGCUCACUAUCACGUCAGUGCACACAGGAAUAGAAGUACUAAGCAAAAAAUAUAAUACACUAUAAUACAGGUCAGAAAAUAAAUUAAGUACCAAGUGGGUAUAAGUAUAAAAUUAAAAUAAUGAAAGAGAUGAUGAUAGUGGGGUCAUGCUGGAGAUGUAACAGAUCUGCAGGGAUGUCCUCUGAAUGAAAGAAUGAAGAGAAAGAUGAAUGAAAGAUGAAUGACUGAAAAAUGAAUGAAAGAAAAAUGAAUGAAAGAAUGAAGAGAAAGAUGACUGCUGUCAUGGCCUUGGAGAUGCUUCAGAACUUGGACAGCAAUGACUCUGAUGCAGGCGAUCUAUCGGAGGUGGAAAGUGACAGUGACCGUUCCUGGGUGCAAGAAAACACUUCAUCCUCAUCAGAGAGUGAUUCAGAGUUCAUAUCAUGGAAAAGUUCUAGUAGUUAUGGAAUUCUGGUACUUCUAGUGUCAACACAAACCAUGAACUGUACGCUAGUUACCACUUAUUAGUACAGUUUAAAUGAAUGAAAACAACUUACCCAAAAUCUCAAGUACCACACUAUUUUACAUCCAGAAUGCUGUUGUCUGUUCAAACGUAUAAUAUUGUUAGGGGGAGUUAUGUGCUGGUACUAUUUCUUGAUAAGCAACAAGUUUCAAACAACAAAUAUAAUCCCCAAGUCUUGUCAUCACAGUGAGGUUGUCAGGUUUUGUAUCACUGUGCCUAUACAGCAACCAAUACCAAAACCUGUGCUUACUGACCAUAUUUGCAACCUGCGCUAUACCUGAGACAAUGCAAAGAAGUGCUGGGCAGGAUUGUUGUUCAUCAAGAAAUAGCAUGUAGUUCCUUCUAAAUCCAUAAACUGAUAUUUUUACAUUUCUGUUUGUUCACAGAUUAACAAAUGAGAAACAGCAUGUGAAACAGCAUGCUAAACGGCGAGCGUUAGAGGUGUUGGUAGGUGUGUUUUCAAACUUUGGACAGAGCCAGGCUAGCUGUUUCCCCCUUCUUCCCCUAAUUAUGAUAAGCUAUGCUAACCUCAUCCUUACCCCAAACACACAGACAUAAGAUUGAGAUCCAUCUGAUCAUCUCACCCUACUAAAAAAAAGUGAAGAGGCACAUUUCCUAAAAUUGGCUAUACUAUACCAGCACUACCAUUUCACUAUUUACUUUGAUUCUUAUUAGCAGGAUUGGACUGAACUGCGUUGGGGUUGUGGGAAGAAAUGAACAGACUUUUACAGAGUAGUGUGAACGCUGAGACUGUGGGACACCCACCCACACCCACCCACACA
Long non-coding RNA from Siniperca chuatsi (mandarin fish), 2904 nucleotides. RefSeq lists it as uncharacterized. The transcript has 2 exons. Lineage: Eukaryota; Metazoa; Chordata; Actinopteri; Centrarchiformes; Sinipercidae. The record is from RefSeq and is a predicted model, not a curated record.